This 300-nucleotide ribosomal RNA is filed under the name uncultured Bacillus sp. RNAcentral describes it as "bacterial SSU rRNA". It matches the Rfam family "Bacterial small subunit ribosomal RNA", at positions 496 to 795 of the family's 1533-position model. Lineage: Bacteria; Bacillati; Bacillota; Bacilli; Caryophanales; Bacillaceae. The record is from RNAcentral.
GUGAGCGUAGGACCAGAGGGUGUGGGAAGACGAAUGGGGCAAGCGUGAAUCGGAAUGACAGUGCGUGAAGGGUGCGUAGGCGGUUAUUUAAGUCUGCCGUGAAAUCCCCGGGCUCAACUGGGGAAUGGCGGUGGAUACUGGAUGGCUAGAGUGUGUCAGAGGAUGGUGGAAUUCCCGGUGUAGCGGUGAAAUGCGUAGAGAUCGGGAGGAACAUCAGUGGCGAAGGCGGCCAUCUGGGACAACACUGACGCUGAAGCACGAAAGCGUGGGGAGCAAACAGGAUUAGAUACCCCAGUAGUC